UAUUUAAGUUCAGCACCUACUCAGUCGUUUUGGCCAAGGCACAGCUAGUGGAGAGGAAUCUUUAUAUCUUCCCUCCAGUAGUGGGGAAUCCCAAACCCCCAAUCUUAUACCACAGACCAGCACCCAAUGUACCAGUUCAGCAGAACAAGAGGCUUAGGCCAGUGACUCAAGCUCCUCCUCAGACUCUAGCAACAGAAUAUGGUAGGACUUGUCAGCAUUGUGUCAAGGAUCAUGGGGACCGACCCUACUAUUGUCUGAACAAUACCUACCGCAUAUGUGGAAGUGUCCAACGUUAUGCGAUAGAGUGUCCAUGAAAUCAGAAUCAAACCAGACCUCUUAUCCAGAGCAGAGUCUACAACCUCACCCAAGAGGACGCUGAAGCCAACCCAAAC
This 392-nucleotide long non-coding RNA is filed under the name Carica papaya (papaya). Its description in RNAcentral is "long non-coding RNA (CPAP_LNC004902)". Lineage: Eukaryota; Viridiplantae; Streptophyta; Magnoliopsida; Brassicales; Caricaceae. The record is from RNAcentral.